AUGGGGAAGCAAAAGCUCACCAUAAAGACCGAGGAAGAGUCAAAUCCUCGUGAGAAGUACAUAACCUGGACUGACGAGGCGACAAGGUUUAUGCUUGAUUGGUAUAUUGAGCUUCGUAAGGACAAACCUGCAACUCUCAAGUUCAAGAAACAACACCACCUGCACUGUGUUAAUGCUCCGAAUGGCAAGUUUUCUCUCGGUGUCACUCAAACCCAAGUGGACCGACACUCUCCUUCAUGCAAGGAGAAGUGGGGUUGGGUGCGUCGCCCCAUGGCCAAUAGUGGCAAUGGCUUUGACAUGAUUAAUUUCACAUUCACACUUUCUGAGUCAGAAAAGCAAAACCUAAACUCCCAUGUUGAUGGCUCUCUAGCAACUGACCAAACCACUGCCAAUGUGGAUGAUGACAGUGAUGACAGUGAGGAAGUGAGGGAACUUGAGGCCAAUCUAAUUCCAGUAGACAGCGAUGAAGCUGACUCCGAUACUAUUAAUCGUCACAGUCCUAAAGUUGACUUGGAAGGCAAUUCUUUAAACAAGAAGUGCAAGCAUGUGUCAUCUUCACCUUCCAAGAGGCCAACUAAGAGGAACGCAAAAAAGAAGGGCAAGAUAUCUAAUGUUGAUAUGGCAGCCAGUAUCAAGAAGCUAGUUGACUCUCUUGCAUCUCCUAUUGUUUCUGUGCAACCAAUGCCACCUACCGAUUCAUCUGCAAACCUUUGGAAGCGGAUAAAUGCCCUUAGCAUACUAGCUAAGGAUAAACUUGAGAUUGUAGCAUAUCUAUCCAAGCAAGGCCAAGACAUCUUCCAUAGUUGUCUGAACUAUGCUGAUGAAACAAUUCUUGGAUAGUGGGUCCGUAGCUUCUUCGAGCCUCUGUUUCAAGAAGAUGGUGGCAACGGUGGAUCUGCAACUGCUCACUGA
This 912-nucleotide ribosomal RNA is filed under the name Triticum aestivum (bread wheat). RNAcentral's name for it is "partial small subunit ribosomal RNA". The record is from RNAcentral. Lineage: Eukaryota; Viridiplantae; Streptophyta; Magnoliopsida; Poales; Poaceae.